Klebsormidium nitens is the source of this 84-nucleotide non-coding RNA. The record is from the annotation of a GenBank genome assembly. Lineage: Eukaryota; Viridiplantae; Streptophyta; Klebsormidiophyceae; Klebsormidiales; Klebsormidiaceae.
GCCGCUGUGGUGGAACUUGGUAGACACGCAGGCAUGAGGGGCCUGAGGAGAACAUCCGUGCCGGUUCGAGUCCGGCCAGCGGCA